AUCAAUAAGCGGAGGAAAAGAAACCAACAGGGAUUGCCUCAGUAACGGCGAGUGAAGCGGCAACAGCUCAAAUUUGAAAUCUGGCCCCCCGGGUCCGAGUUGUAAUUUGCAGAGGAUGCUUUUGGCGCGGUGCCUUCCGAGUUCCCUGGAACGGGACGCCAUAGAGGGUGAGAGCCCCGUACGGUUGGACACCAAGCCUGUGUAAAGCUCCUUCGACGAGUCGAGUAGUUUGGGAAUGCUGCUCAAAAUGGGAGGUAUAUUUCUUCUAAAGCUAAAUACCGGCCAGAGACCGAUAGCGCACAAGUAGAGUGAUCGAAAGAUGAAAAGCACUUUGAAAAGAGGGUUAAACAGCACGUGAAAUUGUUAAAAGGGAAGCGCUUGUGACCAGACUUGCGCCCGGUGAAUCACCCAGCUCUCGCGGCUGGGGCACUUUGCCGGCUCAGGCCAGCAUCAGCUCGCCGUCGGGGACAAAAGCUUCGGGAACGUAGCUCUCUUCGGGGAGUGUUAUAGCCCGCUGCACAAUACCCUUCGGCGGGCUGAGGUACGCGCUCCGCAAGGAUGCUGGCGUAAUGGUCAUCAGCGACCCGUCUUGAAACACGGACCAAGGAGUCAACCUUAUGUGC
Molecule: ribosomal RNA, 623 nt
Filed under: Colletotrichum gloeosporioides
Lineage: Eukaryota; Fungi; Ascomycota; Sordariomycetes; Glomerellales; Glomerellaceae
Description: LSU rRNA
Rfam family: Eukaryotic large subunit ribosomal RNA
Source: RNAcentral